RNAcentral lists this long non-coding RNA (6540 nucleotides) under Citrus sinensis (sweet orange). RNAcentral's name for it is "long non-coding RNA (CSIN_LNC001321)". The record is from RNAcentral. Lineage: Eukaryota; Viridiplantae; Streptophyta; Magnoliopsida; Sapindales; Rutaceae.
GUAACUUAAUCACUAAUUAAUUAGUUAGUUCUGAAACUUAUUGCGCGUUUUCCUCAUGUCUAAACUAUUCUUUUUUGUUUAUUUGUUUGUUGUUAUUAUUAUUUUCUCUUGUCCAGGUCCAACAAUUUUAAAUGGAUACCUCCACGGCCUUCCGCCUGGUCAUCACGGAUUUCAUGUUCACGCCGCCGGGGACACAAGACACGAAUGCAAUUCAGCUGGUAUGACCAUAACAUAUAAAUUGAGGAGGAAUCGGGGAUUCGUAAACCUGUUUAUCAGUGUUGGAACCAGGAUUUUGGUUUUAUUUUGAUUUUUUUUUAUUUAAAAAAAGUACUUAAUUGUAAACCAUACAUAGGUAUUGAUAAAUUUUUAAUUCAGUCCAUUAAUUUUCACCAUUCCAAUGUCUUCAUGCAGGGAGUCAUUUUGAUCCUCAUAACAUGUCACAUGGUGGCAAAGAAGACGAGCAUCGUCAUGUUGGCGAUUUAGGAAAUCUCUUUGGUGAUGUUUAUGGUAUGUAUUCGUGUUGACCGUUUCAGUUAUAGUAGUAUUCAUUCUAUUAAUUACUUAUUUUAUGGAAUGUAAUAUUUAUCGAUUUGGUUAAGGUAAUGCUUAUUUGAGCCAUUUUUUAGACAAUAAGGUAAUGUUUCAUCUCCUUUGUAUUUAGUCGUGGACCCGACUCCAGAGAAGUUCGGCUCUUCACUGUUUUAAUUUAUACAUAUGCAGAUUCGUCUUACAGGGCCAGAUUCCAUUAUUGGAAGGGCUAUCGUGAUACACAAAGAUCAAGAUGACUUUGGCAGGGGUAAGAUUACAUACACACAAUUUGAUUUAUUAGUUAACCACUUCAAUUCGUACAGUAUAGUGGGCUAAGCGCACGCAAUACAUGCACUAAGAGUUAUUCGAUCAUCAAACAGCGUUAAAAGUUUUGGAAUCAGAUCAGGAUUGAGCUUGUUCUUAGCACUAAACCAACAAUAAGAAAUUGUCCAACAUGGAUCCUCCAUGAAUCCCAAUCAAUUCCUUAGUAUAGAUUCGUUCUUCAAGUUAGGAAUUGUUUCUUUUUUAUCUUAAGUCUAAAUUUUACUAAUUUUUAGAUAUUUUUCAUUUUUAAUUUACUUAUUUUCUAUCAUUAGUGUCUGAUUAUAAAAUACUUAAGUCUGAAUAGAAAAAAUUAAAUAUUUUGACUUUAAUGAAACUUUAAUGUUCUCUCUCAUUAAUACCCUUAUAAAAUAAAUUUAUUUUCUAUUAUAUAAAUUAUUCUUUUAUUUUUUUAUUUACCCCUUUCUUAUUAUUUGUGUGUAUUCAAAUAUUAGUCUUUUUUUUUGUGAAUGAGAAUUUUAACAUAAAAGAACUUUAGGUGAGUGUGUCUUAAAAUAUAAUAGAACUUUAGGUGAAUGUAUUUUAUAAUAGGUCCAUCUCUUUGUAUUUAUAUUUACUAUUUUUAUAAUAAAUUUAUAAUUUUAUUUAAUAUAUUAUUUUUAAUUCAAACAAUUAAACAACUUUUGAUUGGCUUAUGUAAUUAACAAGAAAAAUACUAAUAUAAUAUACUAGAAAAUAGCAUUAUAAGUAUCCUAUAUUAAUGUAAAAAAUUAAAUGUGUUAGAUAUACAUUUUAUUUUUCAUGCUUUGUUCAAGUAAACUUUAUCAAAUUUCUUUUACUAAUCACAUAAUUUGUUUAUAACUUGUCAUGUGUUUGAUGAAUAAAAUAUAAGUAUUAUAAAUAUUCAUGAGGUUAUAUAUGUCAAAACAUCAUACUUCAGAUGUUUUAUUUGAAAAAAAAAAAAAAACUAAACAUUUACAUUCAGAUAUCAUAAGUUUGGAAUGAAUGAUGUUAAACAAGUUCAAACAUCAUUGGCAAACCAUUUUAAGUUGUCUGUUGCUCAGUGUUCACAAACUGAUGCAGAACAACAGAAAAUGGCUCACAUACCUUACUUAAGUGCUAUGAGUAGGCUCAUAUAUGCUAUGGUAUCCAUCAGGCCUGAUAUCUAACAUGCUGUGAGUGUGGUGAGUAGGUUUAUAGCAAAUCUAGGCUACGAACAUUGGAGAGUUGUUCAAUGGAUAAUGAGAUACCUCAAAAGAACCUUAGAGUUUGGUUUGGUUUAUGGUGGACAGAAUAAUGAUGAACAUACUUUGAUUGGUUUUGUAAAUGCUAACUUUGCUGGUGAUCUUAAUAAAAAGAGGUCAUAAACAGGGUAUUUGUUUACUCUAGGGGAAUGCACAAUCAGUUGGAAAGCAACAUUAUAGAAUAUAAUUGCUUUGUUUGCUAUAGAGGCAGAAUAUACAACAGUAGCAGAAACCUUUAAAGAAGCCAUUUGGCUGAAAGGCAUAAUAAUUGAGCUAGGAGCUAAGCAAAGUUUUGUAGUAGUAUACAAUGACAGUAAGAGCAUCAUACAUCUCAGUAAAAAUCAAACUCAUCAUGAGAAAACAAAACAUAUAGAUGUGAAGUUGCACUCUAGAUUUGAAGUAUCAAGGGGUCUGUGAAAUUGCUAAAAAUCCACAAUGGAGAAAACCCAGCUAACAUGUUAACCAAGGUUGUGCCCACUGCCAAGUUCAUCCUUUGCAUGAACUUAGCAGGAAUUUGUAGGAUCUAAGAAGCUGCAGGUGAAGAGAAAAUAAACAGAGAAGGGAGAAGCAAUUCAGAAAUCCAAAACCGACAGCUUGGUGUUGUCAUCCAAAAUCGUUAAGCAAUCACGUGAUCAGCAUACACCUAUUCUAAGCCUAAACGGCGAGACUUGUUGUCGUCUUUGCAAGGUUUUAAGUUGCUCAUGAAAAGCACGUGAGCAAACGGUUAAAUUGGUUAGUUUUUGGAGGGAAUUAGCUGGAAUCAUAACAACUAGUAACAGCUGGUAUAUAUGCUUGUCCUGGUAUCGUCUUCAGCAAUCGAAUAGAGAAAAAUCAGAGAGCAUUAGAGAGAGUGAAAAGUUUCUUUGUAUUCUCUGUAUAAUGCUUAUCAUCUCUAUAGCCUUUGAAGCUUAAUAUAGAAGCUCCCUGAGUUUGUUUUCUCCAGUGGAUGUAGGCACUAUAAUAAGUGCUUAACCACUUAAAUCUUGUUGUUCCUUGGUUUCUUUGUGCUGUUUUCUUUGAGUUUGUGAUUGUUUCGGACUGUGUUGGCUUGAUCCUUGAAUCUUGGAGUCUCAAUUAGAUUUUGGGGUAAAAUAAAUCCAGUGACAAAGGGUUUAUUUUACAACAAGAAUUCUCGAGAAUCACCGCGAACAAGCUGGCAAAGCUCAGCUUAUAUAACAGCAUAACAACUGAGGCAACCCAAAUUGUACAGGUAUUCGCCACGUGUCUCAAUCCAUUAUAACGGACUUGGAAUCACUUGAGCUGUGACGUGCCAAAGCACCUGUAAAUCGUGAAUCUGUUACGAACAAGACGGAAGCUUGGAUGCCGUUUCAGAGUUAAGUGACUACGAGCUACUCACAUGACUUCAUAACAGGCAGAUGCUAUCCUCAAAACGCUGCCGUUUCUUGCUUACAUGCGUUUGUAUUCAGAAACUCAACAGAUGCUUUUAUCUUAAUCUCCAUCAUUACAAUUUCGUUUAGUUUAUCCUUUGUUUUUGCUCUGCGUUCCUCUUUUCCUGGUUUCUGAAGUUAACCAUAAUGCUGUAUUUACAUGGUAGCUUACAUGGGAUCAUGAUUAGUACGAGGUUCAAUCAACAUCUCAUUUUUAGUUUUACUUGUCAUGCAUAUCUUUUAGGUGUGUAGCGAAAUUAAAAAUGUAUACCACAAAAAUAAAAUUAUGCUGCGAAAGUAACUUAUAUACCCUCAUAACGAACGACGCUCUUUAUUAGUCCAUUCAAUUGGGGAAAAAAAAAAUUCUUUUUCUUUUAUUGUGGAACAUUAUUCAAUUUAACGACAAUCACAUUGCAUAUUUCUUCUCUGAAAUAAUUAAAGUCUGUCAAUUCGCUUCUACUGGUAGGAUUUCCCUGAAUGUGAGUAAUGGAUUUUCACUUUUGAAUUCCACAUUUUCCAUUGGAGAGACCCAAGUGUAUAUUAAAGGUAUUGUGUUUAAAUAAUAUAUCUAUAGCAAUGUGUAUUUAAAUUAAAUAAUUAUUAUGUAAUUAUUAAUUAUGUCUAAUUGAAUUAUACAUAUUAUACUGUAUUAAGUAGAUGUAAUAUUUUUUAUGUACCUUAAAAUUUUUCGUUCUAUUGAUUUGGAUUUGACUCAAAUCCUACAAGUGGACCUGAUCCUCUUCUUUUUAUUUUGGGUGGACCCCUAUCUAAACAUGAGUGUAAGGAGAGUUGGAUACUUCUUCUACGCGGGUUUCGAUAAUGUGUAUGGAUCUAAAUCAAAGUAAUGAUAUGUUUAUACAAAUAAAGUAAACAAGAAGAAAUUUAGAGGGCUUAGAAUAAUGAGGCAAAGGUUUUCUUAGGUAACGUUUGUUGGCCGCCGCCGCAAGGACGAUCGAUGACACUACAGAGUGCAUUAGUUUAGUAUUUAAUUUUUUUUUCCUUUUUCGUGCUUCUUCUUUCUCCUUUUUGUUGGCUAUAAUAAAUGACUUGAUUUUUUUUUUUUAAUAUAAUGUCUACGGGAUGUUAGGUGGUCUCUUUAUGGUUCCUUUGUUGGUGUUAAGGCUUAUAAUUUAUUAAGCUUGUGAUCUGUUUCCUUUGUCACACGACAAAUCAUAAUGAAAGCUUGUGAAAUGCUUCCUCAUAAAUGUUCGAUGAUGGAUGAGUAUUUUCAGCCGUCUCCCAUGAAACAAUUUUAUUUUGUUGAAAUUAAAUAUUGGAUUAUGGAUACACUAAAGUAAAAGGAGAAAUUAACAAAGUUGGUCUCCCAUAAAUAAAGUUCUUUAUAAAAUAGGGAUGCACACCUUACAGUGCUUAAAUGAAUUUUCACACAACUGUUUUUCACAGCAUUGUAAUUUUAUGAUGUGGUAGAAUAAUAGACAUACGCACUUGAAAAUUAUAUAUAUAUGGAAAUAUUUUAAUCUAGUAUCUUGCACUUUGUUAAAUUUCGAGAAAGUUAUUAAAUCAUACAACUUAAUAGUGUAAUGUCCGUGAAAUCUAUUAAGUUGUAAGGUUUAAUAGUAUAAUUGCAUAAUGCUAUUAAACCACACGGCUUAAUAAUUUUUCUAAACUUUAAUAAAAUCCAAGAUCAUGGAUAUAUAUAUAUAUCCCAAUCUGGAAUUUUAAAGUGCGGGAUCGUCUGGGAAAACGCAUAAACCGUGCGGUUUAAGCCCUUUAAAUUUUAAUCCUUUAAAAUCCCGCAGUUUUAAAACUUUCCCGAACUUUUCCUGUACUUUAAGAUCCCGAACUUGAAAACCUCUCUCUCUCUCUCUCUCUCUCUCUCUCUCUCUCUCUCUCUCUCUCUCUCUCUCUCUCUCUCUCUCUCUCUCUCUAUAUAUAUAUAUAUAUAUAUAUAUAAAUAUAUACACACACACAAGAAACCUGAAGGCCAUAUUAUAAAUAAAUUUAUACUCUCUGAUUAUCGCAGUAUCUAAUAAAAAGUAAGAGAGUUUUAAAAAGAAUAAAAUAGUGAAAGCUAAUUAAGAGACUCCAGAGACCACCUAAAUUAAAUUUGUCUUUCAUAAGACAAUUGAUGAAUUAUUGUACUAUAUAUAUAUGGGCAGGGUUCCUUGACUUAAAGCCAUCAACAUAGCAUUAAUUGAGCACUUGUGCCCAUUGGGUAUAACUAGAAGGGAGAGAAAUAAAAACAUCAAUAUCUCUCACUUACUCUCAUUUCUAUUUGAUAAUGGAGAAAGCAGCUUCACUCAAGUUAACUUUAUUGGUAGCAGUUUUAUUCUGUAAGGAUCUUGAAUUUCUAUUUGAAACAUAACAAUUAUAGUUCGUGAGUCAGUUAGUAAUAAGAUACAGUUGAGUGUUAAUUCAUGGCUGCUGCAUGCAUGCAGGUUUUGUCAAUUCAACCAAAUCAACAGGAGUGUGAGUUUAUACACAUACUGGAUAUAUAUAUAUAUAUAUAAAUUGCUACUCAAGAUUUGGGGGAGAAAUAAUCUGUCUGAUUUAUAUGUUUAAUUCAAAGCUCAUGCCUCGAACUGAUUUUUUUUUUUUCCUUUCCACUUGUUCCUCCAAUAUUUAUUUGUAUUGCUCAGACCACAUGGCAAUAAGGUGAAUGCAAUUGCCGUUAUUACUGGCAGAGAGGGGGGUCCCAAGGGAAGCAUCUUUUUUUAUCAGGAUGGAGAUCAUGGUAACUUAAUCACUAAUUAAUUAGUUAGUUCUGAAACUUAUUGCGCGUUUUCCUCAUGUCUAAACUAUUCUUUUUUGUUUAUUUGUUUGUUGUUAUUAUUAUUUUCUCUUGUCCAGGUCCAACAAUUUUAAAUGGAUACCUCCACGGCCUUCCGCCUGGUCAUCACGGAUUUCAUGUUCACGCCGCCGGGGACACAAGACACGAAUGCAAUUCAGCUGGUAUGACCAUAACAUAUAAAUUGAGGAGGAAUCGGGGAUUCGUAAACCUGUUUAUCAGUGUUGGAACCAGGAUUUUGGUUUUAUUUUGAAAUUUUUUUUAAAAAAAGUACUUAAUUGUAAAUCAUACAUAGGUAUUGAUAAAUUUUUAAUUCAGUCCAUUAGUUUUCACCAUUCCAAUGUCUUCA